UCUGGCGGCGAUGGCGAGAAGGUCACACCCCAUACCGAACACGGAAGUUAAGCUUCUCAGCGCCGAUGGUAGUUAGGGGCUGUCCCCUUGUGAGAGUAGGACGCUGCCAGGC
Molecule: ribosomal RNA, 112 nt
Filed under: Sporosarcina globispora
Lineage: Bacteria; Bacillati; Bacillota; Bacilli; Caryophanales; Caryophanaceae
Source: RNAcentral